This 86-nucleotide transfer RNA is filed under the name Pristionchus pacificus. Its description in RNAcentral is "tRNA-Leu (TAA) (tRNA-Leu-TAA-2-1)". It matches the Rfam family "tRNA". Rfam says of the family: Transfer RNA (tRNA) molecules are approximately 80 nucleotides in length. Lineage: Eukaryota; Metazoa; Nematoda; Chromadorea; Rhabditida; Neodiplogasteridae. The record is from Rfam by way of RNAcentral.
GCUCGGGUGGCCGAGUGGUCUAAGGCGGUGGACUUAAGUUCCACUGUCCCGUGAGGGACGCGUGGGUUCGAACCCCACCCCGUGCA